GUGCAUCGAACUGCUGGCUCCCCAUCCGCUUCAGUYAUCCCCAUGUGAAGCUUUUUCAUUAUGGGGUGCGUAUGGUAUCCUGUGCUGCUUACCCAUGAAUUGGAAUUYGUUGGCUUCGUUGUAUUGAUCCGYCUUGUGCCCCUUUGGGGUGUGGGGCGGACGUGAGGCGGGCUCUUUGUUCCUAACGUGCCUAGUGCAUUGUCAYUYUGCCGUUGUGGCCCAUGGAGUCUCUCGCUUGUUUUCUCGGAUGCGGAAUGCUAUGYGUUGGUAAAGAGGUWUUGGCCUCAACUUGCCUAAUUAUCGUCCYUUGACUUGAACGAUUGCUGCRUCCGUCUUUGAUCUUCCCGACCAAGGCCUCGUAAUGGGGCUUACUGGAYGAGGGUUGSUCAYGCGGGCGUUGCCAUUGGACUCGUCCCUUAACUCGAACGACUGCGRYGUCUGUCUUUGAUCUUCCCGACCAAGGCCUCGUAAUGGGGCUUACUGGAYGAGGGUUGCUCAUGCGGGCGUUGGCAUCGACGAGGAAUGU
Molecule: unclassified non-coding RNA, 526 nt
Filed under: Crowea angustifolia var. angustifolia
Lineage: Eukaryota; Viridiplantae; Streptophyta; Magnoliopsida; Sapindales; Rutaceae
Description: partial external transcribed spacer
Source: RNAcentral